CUAAGUUUGAUGGCGACCGGCGCACGGGUGAGUAACACGUAUCCAACCUGCCGAUGACUCGGGGAUAGCCUUUCGAAAGAAAGAUUAAUACCCGAUGGCAUAGUUCUUCCGCAUGGUGGAACUAUUAAAGAAUUUCGGUCAUCGAUGGGGAUGCGUUCCAUUAGGUUGUUGCGGGGUAACGGCCCACCAAGCCUUCGAUGGAUAGGGGUUCUGAGAGGAAGGUCCCCCACAUUGGAACUGAGACACGGUCCAAACUCCUACGGGAGGCAGCAUG
RNAcentral lists this ribosomal RNA (274 nucleotides) under uncultured bacterium. Its description in RNAcentral is "partial 16S ribosomal RNA". It matches the Rfam family "Bacterial small subunit ribosomal RNA", at positions 79 to 353 of the family's 1533-position model. The record is from RNAcentral.